This 468-nucleotide ribosomal RNA is filed under the name uncultured bacterium. RNAcentral's name for it is "partial 16S ribosomal RNA". It matches the Rfam family "Bacterial small subunit ribosomal RNA", at positions 28 to 507 of the family's 1533-position model. The record is from RNAcentral.
GACGAACGCUGGCGGCGUGCUUAACACAUGCAAGUCGAACGGAAAGGCCCUGCUUUUGUGGGGUGCUCGAGUGGCGAACGGGUGAGUAACACGUGAGUAACCUGCCCUUGACUUUGGGAUAACUUCAGGAAACUGGGGCUAAUACCGGAUAGGAGCUCCUGCCGCAUGGUGGGGGUUGGAAAGUUUCGGCGGUUGGGGAUGGACUCGCGGCUUAUCAGCUUGUUGGUGGGGUAGUGGCUUACCAAGGCUUUGACGGGUAGCCGGCCUGAGAGGGUGACCGGCCACAUUGGGACUGAGAUACGGCCCAGACUCCUACGGGAGGCAGUGGUGGGGAAUAUUGCACAAUGGGCGGAAGCCUGAUGCAGCAACGCCGCGUGCUGGAUGACGGCCUUCGGGUUGUAAACCGCUUUCGCCUGUGACGAAGCGUGAGUGACGGUAAUGGGUAAAGAAGCACCGGCUAACUACGUG